This 122-nucleotide ribosomal RNA is filed under the name Diaphorina citri (Asian citrus psyllid). Lineage: Eukaryota; Metazoa; Arthropoda; Insecta; Hemiptera; Psyllidae. The record is from RNAcentral.
GCGAGCGGCCGUAACACAUUGAAUUCGCCAGUUACGAAUGGAUCACUGAAGUUGAGUAAAGUUGUGCUCUGUUGGUAUCCGAAUGGGUGACCAUCUGGGCAGUCGCCCAGAUGGUGCUGGCU